CUACGUGCCAGCAGCCGCGGUAAUACGUAGGGUGCGGGCGUUAAUCGGAAUUACUGGGCGUAAAGCGAGCGCAGACGGUUACUUAAGCAGGAUGUGAAAUCCCCGGGCUUAACCUGGGAACUGCGUUCUGAACUGGGUAACUAGAGUGUGUCAGAGGGAGGUAGAAUUCCACGUGUAGCAGUGAAAUGCGUAGAGAUGUGGAGGAAUACCGAUGGCGAAGGCAGCCUCCUGGGAUAACACUGACGUUCAUGCUCGAAAGCGUGGGUAGCAAACAGGAUUAGAUACCCUGGUAGUCCACGCCCUAAACGAUGUCAAUUAGCUGUUGGGCAACUUGAUUGCUUAGUAGCGUAGCUAACGCGUGAAAUUGACCGCCUGGGGAGUACGGCCGCAAGAUUAAAACUCAAAGGAAUUGACGGGGACCCGCACAAGCGGUGGAUGAUGUGGAUUAAUUCGAUGCAACGCGAAGAACCUUACCUGGUCUUGACAU
Molecule: ribosomal RNA, 487 nt
Filed under: uncultured bacterium
Lineage: Bacteria
Description: bacterial SSU rRNA
Rfam family: Bacterial small subunit ribosomal RNA
Source: RNAcentral